GGGCAUGACAGAAAAGUUACCCCGGGGAUAACAGGGUCGUCGCGGGCGAGAGCUCACAUCGACCCCGCGGUUUGCUACAUCGAUGUCGGCUCUUCCCACCCUGGGGGUGCAGCUGCCCCCAAGGGUAGGGCUGCCCGCCCGUUAAAGGGGAGCGUGAGCUGGGUUUAGACCGUCGCGAGACAGGUCGGACUCUAAGGGUAGGGGGUGCGGGCCGCCUGCGGGAAAGGAACCCCUAGUACGAGAGGAACAGGGUUCCGGGGCCUCCAGUUUACCGGUUGUCCGGUAGGGCACUGCCGGGCAGCCGCGCCCUGAGGGGUAACCGCUGAAAGCAUCUAAGCGGGAACCCCUCCCCUAAAAGAGGCGGCCACUGGGCCCUCCCCCAGAAGAGGGGGUUGAUGGGGUGGGGGUGUAAGCCCCGAGGCGUAAGCCGAGGGGUUUAGCCCGCCACUCCCAAUCGGGCCCAGCUCCUAGGUG
Molecule: ribosomal RNA, 474 nt
Filed under: Sulfolobaceae archaeon
Lineage: Archaea; Thermoproteati; Thermoproteota; Thermoprotei; Sulfolobales; Sulfolobaceae
Description: partial 23S ribosomal RNA
Rfam family: Archaeal large subunit ribosomal RNA
Source: RNAcentral